AUAUAUUUUUGUGACAAGUAAUCUUCGUUGGUUCAUGAUUUUAAUUUAAAAUCAACAUAUAUGUAGCAUGUAAAAUCAUAAGCAUAGAACAACAAAGUAUAACAUUGAUGUUCUGGUUGGGUUUGAAUGAUACAUUUAUCUGCUUCUAUUGUAAACAAAUUUAAAUAGGUUUGUUAUCAAUUAUGAAUCAUAAAUGACACACAUUUUAUUUUACAGUAUCCUGUAAAAAGGUACGAUGAAAGCUACAGAGAGUUGAAAUGAAGUCAACUGCAAAUGAGAAAUAGAGCCGGUCAUAGGGGAGAGCACCACCGAGGCCAUUGAAUGCACUACCUGACAGUUACAAUGGCAGGACCGUUCUGCACGCAUCACUGCAGUAACUACCAGAUCCUCCAACAGUUACACGCAUCGCUACAGUACUCCAGAGGCUGUCGUGAAAUCCCAUCGUUGUACUGCAGUAUAUGCUGCCUGGACGAGAACAGCAUCGGGAAGAGAGGGUGGAAGAGAAAGAAUGAGGACAAGGGGCAGGAUCUUUCCCUCAAUUAUUGUUCAAUGAAUUGAUUCUUAUUUUAAAUCGUAUAUUGUUGUUUACAAUGUCAGUAUGAUAUAAAACAAAAAGCACAUUAAUCUUAACUAGUACAU
Long non-coding RNA from Mya arenaria, 639 nucleotides. RefSeq lists it as uncharacterized. NCBI's taxonomy places the organism in Eukaryota, Metazoa, Mollusca, Bivalvia, Myida, Myidae. The transcript is spliced from 3 exons. The record is from RefSeq and is a predicted model, not a curated record.